ACGGAAGGCAGCAGCUAAGAAUAUUCCGCAAUGGACGAAAGUCUGACGGAGCGACGCCGCGUGGAUGAUGAAGGCCGGAAGGUUGUAAAAUCCUUUUAUAACUGAGGAAUAAGUAUUAUCAGAGAAAGGUAGUAUGGUGAGUGUAGGUUAUGAAUAAGCAACGGCUAAUUACGUGCGAGCGGCCGCGGUAACACGUAAGUUGCGAGCGUUGUUCGGAAUUAUUGGGCGUAAAGGGCAUGUAGGCGGUUUUGCAAGCUUGGUGUGAAAUCCCGGAGCUCAACUCCGUAAUUGCGUUGAGAACUGCAUAACUAGAGUCACUGAGGGGCAAUCAGAAUUCCAGGUGUAGGGGUGAAAUCUGUAGAUAUCUGGAAGAAUACCAAUGGCGAAGGCAGGUUACCAGCAGAUGACUGACGCUGAGGUGCGAAGGUGCGGGGAGCAAACAGGAUUAGAUACCCUGGUA
This 460-nucleotide ribosomal RNA is filed under the name uncultured Treponema sp. RNAcentral describes it as "bacterial SSU rRNA". It matches the Rfam family "Bacterial small subunit ribosomal RNA", at positions 341 to 792 of the family's 1533-position model. The record is from RNAcentral. Lineage: Bacteria; Pseudomonadati; Spirochaetota; Spirochaetia; Treponematales; Treponemataceae.